GCAAAUGAUACUCAGGAGAUGAGGCCAAGAGGGAAGGCUGGUCAGGUGGGAGUGACAAAGCUAUGGCUGGCUAUUGAUUGGUGGUGAUUUGACAGGCCUGUCGUGAUGUUGGGUGGUGAAUGGUAGCCUCUGUAAGAUGAGAUGCUUUGUGGGCUCUUGGCGUGCAUUGACUGACUCAUGCUGUUGAGAUGUCCUGGACGCAGUGGCGGAACCAGAAACUUUUGAGAGGGGGGUCAAAAUAUACUUGUAAAAUCAUGACGGGGGCGAUACGAGCUACAAUGACGGUAACUGACGACGACAAUAACAGCGAUAUUAAUACUAACGUCUUAAAGAUAAAUAAACUAAUAGUAACACCAAUGUCUUUCAGACCCACAAUUGGUCGUAUCCUCUCCAUUAUAUGUUGCAAAAGGCUCAUGUUUAAUUCCUGCCACAAAACCCACAUUAUCCAACAACAGAACAAAAUUUACAAUAUGAUUUUCACGUGCAAACAAAAAACAGAGUUUCCUGUGUUCCCAUUUUGCAAGGUAUGAUUCGUAAGCAAAUCAAAAGAUUAUAAUUCCAUAAAUUGUCUCAGAAAAGGAUAUACUCACGGACUCACGAUGUCUAGCAAAGAGUCACUUUUAAAUUUUAUUUUUGUCUUAAUUUAAUAAUUUCAUUAAAAGUCACUUUUAUUUUUGUCCUAAUUUAAUAAUUUCAAUUAACCUAAUGAGAUUAUGAGAAAUAAAUUAAUAAAACUACACUCCAACGGACAACAGUAACAAUACAAGUAUAUAAUUUGAAAGACAUUAAAUUACUAAAAGAUUAAAGUAACAAUUCUGAAAACUAAAUUACUAAAAGAUUAAAGAUUACUCCAACAGUAACAAUUCUGAAAACUAAAUUACUAAAAGAUUAAAGAUGUAAACAUUAAAUUAUUAAAAUUCAUCAAAAUUCUUUCUUUUAGGAUUCUCAAAAGCCAAACAAAGGUAAAAGAAAAGAAAAAUUAAUUGGAAAUAAUUGGAAAAAUUAAAACAAACCUAAAUUAAAGAAAAAUUUAAAUAAUAUAAUUACAACAAUCAGAAAAAGUAAUAAAUUAAAAUUACAAUAAUCGGAAAAAUUAAAGAGAUCAUUUUGAUUCUUAACAUGAAAUAAUAUAAUUUAUUAUUUCAUUUGAAAGACAAAACCUAAAUUAGAAUUUAGAAAUUACCAAAGUCCAAAGGAAGGACCAAGCAGCUCCAAGAUUGGAGCGAGUCAGAGGCGGAACAGUCGGCAGGCAGAGGCGGAACAGACGAACAUUCGGCAGGCGGAGAGGCGUCGGGCGCGGGCCGCGCGGCUGAGGAGGCAGGAGCAGUCGGCGGUGAAGACUGACGGCC
RNAcentral lists this long non-coding RNA (1349 nucleotides) under Panax ginseng (ginseng). Its description in RNAcentral is "long non-coding RNA (PGIN_LNC009940)". Lineage: Eukaryota; Viridiplantae; Streptophyta; Magnoliopsida; Apiales; Araliaceae. The record is from RNAcentral.